This 253-nucleotide ribosomal RNA is filed under the name uncultured bacterium. Its description in RNAcentral is "partial 16S ribosomal RNA". It matches the Rfam family "Bacterial small subunit ribosomal RNA", at positions 524 to 776 of the family's 1533-position model. The record is from RNAcentral.
GACAGAGGGUGCAAACGUUGUUCGGAAUUACUGGGCGUAAAGCGUGUGUAGGCGGCCAUGUAAGUCGGAUGUGAAAGCCCCGGGCUUAACCCGGGAAGUGCAUUCGAUACUGCGUGGCUUGAGUAUCGGAGAGGUUGGUGGAAUUCUCGGUGUAGAGGUGAAAUUCGUAGAUAUCGAGAGGAACACCGGUGGCGAAGGCGGCCAACUGGACGAAUACUGACGCUGAGGCGCGAAAGCCAGGGGAGCGAACGGG